ACGAGAAUUUUUCACAAUGGGCGCAAGCCUGAUGGAGCGACGCCGCGUGGGGGAUGAAUGGCUUCGGCCCGUAAACCCCUGUCAUUUGCGAUCAACCGUUGUUGUUUAAGAGAUGACAACCUGAUAGUAGCGAAAGAGGAAGGGACGGCUAACUCUGUGCCAGCAGCCGCGGUAAUACAGAGGUCCCAAGCGUUGUUCGGAUUCACUGGGCGUAAAGGGUGCGUAGGCGGUAUGACAAGUCUAACGUGAAAUGCUGGAGCUCAACUCCGGAACUGCGUAGGAAACUGUCAUGCUAGAGGGUUGGAGGGGGGACUGGAAUUCUCGGUGUAGCAGUGAAAUGCGUAGAUAUCGAGAGGAACACCCGUGGCGAAGGCGAGUCCCUAGACAACUCCUGACGCUGAGGCACGAAAGCUAGGGGAGCAAACA
RNAcentral lists this ribosomal RNA (426 nucleotides) under uncultured prokaryote. RNAcentral describes it as "bacterial SSU rRNA". It matches the Rfam family "Bacterial small subunit ribosomal RNA", at positions 355 to 774 of the family's 1533-position model. The record is from RNAcentral.